Phalaenopsis equestris is the source of this 569-nucleotide long non-coding RNA. RefSeq lists it as uncharacterized. The transcript is spliced from 3 exons. Lineage: Eukaryota; Viridiplantae; Streptophyta; Magnoliopsida; Asparagales; Orchidaceae. The record is from RefSeq and is a predicted model, not a curated record.
CAAUGGUGUAGAGGCGUUCCCGUGCCAUGUGCAGCACAUUUUGAACUCUAAAGCUUGAUACCGUUAUCAGAUUGAAGGUGAUGGAAGAGUUGACUGUCUAUUGAUCACUAGAAAGUAGAGAGAAGAAAUACUGGCGCGGCGUUGUUCUUCCGUUGUUUUCGGCCAGUUGAUCAUCUCUUUAGCUUUUAAUUUCUCAAACAAUGUGGGGCUGCUACCUUACUAUUAAUCUCCAAAAAUCACGGGGUUCUCAGCUGGGAAGAGCGACUCCGCUACCAACUUGCUUCCAUUAUUUCUACUUCAGCUGCUUUUCCUGCUUUUUACGUAAUUAUACAUUCAGGUGCGGAGGAGUUCACAUCUGAAUGGCGGGCCGGAUGCGGCUAUCCUGACAUGAGGCUUUGUUAGGUAUGGCUUAAGGGACAAAUGCAGGAGCGUAACGAAGCUAGCCAGCUGAGCAGAGUGGAAUGAAAAUAUUUAUCUAAUCGAGGGAGUUUCGUUAUGUGAGUUGGGGGGUAUGGGGCAACGUCCCCGCAAUACGAUUCAACGAUAAUUUUGUAAUUACAUAUUGUAUA